This 355-nucleotide small RNA is filed under the name uncultured fungus. RNAcentral's name for it is "eukaryotic LSU rRNA". The stretch from base 1 to 102 matches the Rfam family "5.8S ribosomal RNA", at positions 54 to 154 of the family's 154-position model. The record is from RNAcentral. Lineage: Eukaryota; Fungi.
UGCGAUACGUCAUGUGAACUGCACUCUUCGCGAAUCAUUAAAUCUUUGAACGCAUAUGGCACCUCGAGGCACACGUCCCGAGGUAUACUUGUUUGAGCAUCCGAUACACAUCUCACUCUACCAUUGGCAGAAUGUGUGAACUGAGUGACCUUGGGAUCUAAUAGAGAGUAGUCUAUUAUUUCUUUAAAAGCAGGCAAUGGUCACAUGUUCUCUGAGAAAAAGUACACGACCAUUCAUGGGAAAAUAUCCACGACAUGAAUGGGCGUGUCACUAUCAGAAACAUAGGACAGCAACACAACACAACACCACAACGAAACCCGAUCUCAAAUCAAGUAAGAUGACCCGCUGAACUUAA